RNAcentral lists this ribosomal RNA (253 nucleotides) under uncultured bacterium. Its description in RNAcentral is "partial 16S ribosomal RNA". It matches the Rfam family "Bacterial small subunit ribosomal RNA", at positions 524 to 776 of the family's 1533-position model. The record is from RNAcentral.
UAUAGGGGGUGCAAACGUUGCUCGGAAUCAUUGGGCGUAAAGCGCACGUAGGCGGUCUGUUAUGUCGGAUGUGAAAGCCCUCGGCUCAACUGAGGAAGUGCAUCCGAAACUGGCGAGCUUGAGUGUCGGAGAGGAUGGCGGAAUACCCCAAGUAGAGGUGAAAUUCGUAGAUAUGGGGUGGAACACCGGUGGCGAAGGCGGCCAUCUGGACGACAACUGACGCUGAGACGCGAAAGCGUGGGGAGCAAACAGG